RNAcentral lists this signal recognition particle RNA (99 nucleotides) under Ureaplasma sp. RNAcentral's name for it is "signal recognition particle sRNA small type". It matches the Rfam family "Bacterial small signal recognition particle RNA". Rfam says of the family: The signal recognition particle (SRP) is a universally conserved ribonucleoprotein involved in the co-translational targeting of proteins to membranes. Archaeal SRP consists of a 7S RNA and homologues of the eukaryotic SRP19 and SRP54 proteins. The record is from RNAcentral. Lineage: Bacteria; Bacillati; Mycoplasmatota; Mycoplasmoidales; Mycoplasmoidaceae.
UAUUAAUGUCAUUACAAUAUUAAGUGGCGAACCGUGUCAGGAUAGAAAUAUAGCAGCACUAAGCAUCAUCUUCUUAUGUGUAAUGGCUCAUCUUAGAAA